CGCACGGGUGAGUAAUGCGUACCUGACCUACCCCGAAGUCUGGGAUAACUGGGCGAAAGUUCAGCUAAUACCGGAUACCCAGAUGACUCGCGAGUCAUCUGGAAAGAUUGAUUGCUUUGGGAUGGGUUACGUUCCAUCAGCUGGUUGGUAGGGUAAAGGCCUACCAAGGCGACGACGGAUAGCCGGCCUGAGAGGGUGGCCGGCCACAGGGGCACUGAGACACGGGCCCC
RNAcentral lists this ribosomal RNA (230 nucleotides) under uncultured bacterium. RNAcentral's name for it is "partial 16S ribosomal RNA". It matches the Rfam family "Bacterial small subunit ribosomal RNA", at positions 99 to 334 of the family's 1533-position model. The record is from RNAcentral.